AGCAGCCGCGGUAAUUCCAGCUCCAAUAGCGUAUAUUAAAGUUGUUGCAGUUAAAAAGCUCGUAGUUGAAUUUCGGGAUCACCAGGUUGGUCGUGCCUCCGGUAUGUACUUGCUUCGGUGGUCCCUCCUUCUUGAAGAACCGUAAUGCCAUUAAUUUGGUGUUGCGGGGAAAAAGGACUGUUACUUUGAAAAAAUUAGAGUGUUUAAAGCAGGCAAUCGCUUGAAUACAUUAGCAUGGAAUAAUGAAAUAGGACGUUCGAUCCUAUUUUGUUGGUUUCUAGGAUUGACGUAAUGAUUAAUAGGGAUAGUUGGGGGCAUUAGUAUUCAAUUGUCAGAGGUGAAAUUCUUGGAUUUAUUGAAGACUAACUACUGCGAAAGCAUUUGCCAAGGAUGUUUUCAUUAAUCAAGAACGAAAGUUAGGGGAUCGAAGACGAUCAGAUACCGUCGUAGUCUUAACCAUAAACUAUGC
RNAcentral lists this ribosomal RNA (469 nucleotides) under uncultured Glomus. RNAcentral describes it as "SSU rRNA". It matches the Rfam family "Eukaryotic small subunit ribosomal RNA", at positions 569 to 1042 of the family's 1831-position model. Lineage: Eukaryota; Fungi; Glomeromycota; Glomeromycetes; Glomerales; Glomeraceae. The record is from RNAcentral.